UUUAAGUGCAACUAUAAGUUUCCGUGCCCAAUUUUGAUCGUUCGUCUUAUUUAAUUUUUUUUAUAAUUAGUAUUUUUAUUGCUAUGAGAUGAUAAAACAUGAAUAGUAAUUUAUAUGUGACUUUUGUUUUUAAAUUUUUUUAAAAAAUUUUCAAAUAAUACGGAUAGUCAAAAAGUCGUGCGUGGAAAAUCAUAUCUGCACUUAAA
This is a non-coding RNA of Oryza nivara, 206 nucleotides long. The record is from Rfam. NCBI's taxonomy places the organism in Eukaryota, Viridiplantae, Streptophyta, Magnoliopsida, Poales, Poaceae.